ACGCGAUAGGUGAGUAACACGUGGGUAACCUGCCUGUAAGACUGGGGAUAACUCCGGGAAACCGGAGCUAAUACCGGAUAGUUCCUUGAACCGCAUGGUUCAAGGAUGAAAGACGGUUUCGGCUGUCACUUACAGAUGGACCCGCGGCGCAUUAGCUAGUUGGUGAGGUAACGGCUCACCAAGGCGACGAUGCGUAGCCGACCUGAGAGGGUGAUCGGCCACACUGGGACUGAGACACGGCCCACACUCCUACGGGAGGCAGCAGUAGGGAAUCUUCCGCAAUGGACGAAGGGCUGACGGAGCAACGCCGCGUGAGUGAUGAAGGUUUUCGGAUCGUAAAGCUCUGUUGUUAGGGAAGAACAAGUGCAAGAGUAACUGCUUGCACCUUGACGGUACCUAACCAGAAAGCCACGGCUAACUACGUGCCAGCAGCCGCGGUAAUACCUAGGUGGCAAGCGUUGUCCGGAAUUAUUGGGCGUAAAGGGCUCGCACGCGGUUUCUUAAGUCUGAUGUGAAAGCCCCCGGCUCAACCGGGGAGGGUCAUUGGAAACUGGGAAACUUGAGUGCAGAAGAGGAGAGUGGAAUUCCACGUGUAGCGGUGAAAUGCGUAGAGAUGUGCAGGAACACCAGUGGCGAAAGGC
RNAcentral lists this ribosomal RNA (641 nucleotides) under Bacillus altitudinis. Its description in RNAcentral is "bacterial SSU rRNA". It matches the Rfam family "Bacterial small subunit ribosomal RNA", at positions 96 to 722 of the family's 1533-position model. Lineage: Bacteria; Bacillati; Bacillota; Bacilli; Caryophanales; Bacillaceae. The record is from RNAcentral.